UUUGGGUGAAUCCACUGCUCAGACUUCCCCUGCUCAGCCAUCCCCUACUAUGUGUGCUGCAAACUUUGCUGGUAAUAUGCUUACUGAGAGUCCUGUUUCUAAUUCCAAACUCUGCUUGCUUACUCAUAUUGCUUCUGUUUCCUGGAUAAUAGAUUCUGGAGCUUCUGACCACAUGACAUCUAAUAUACACUUACUCUUCAAUAUCACCCCUUUACUUGUACCUUAUCUUGUUACCCUUCAUAAUGGAUACAAAGUAAAAGUAACUUCAACUAGCUCUUUUGCUUUAACUCCUUGCAUUACUCUUCAUAAUGUACUGUUGUCCCUUCUUUCAAACACAAUUUGAUUUCUGUCCACAAGUUGGUGAAACAGUUGCACUGUAUUAUUCUAUUUACUGCGACUUCUUAUUUCCUUCACAUGUUACAGGCCCCUUCUCUGAAGAUGCCUCUGGAUCUUGGUAAAGAGGAGGCUGGUCUGUACAAAUUUGCUUGGGUGCCCCCUUGGCCCCUUCUCUGAAUAUGCCUCUGGAUCUUGGUAAAGAGGAGGCUGGUUUGUAAAAAUUUGCUUGGGUGCCCCCUUCAUCUUCUUCUGUUGCUUGCUCUUCUUUCAAUUCUG
This 612-nucleotide long non-coding RNA is filed under the name Nicotiana benthamiana. RNAcentral describes it as "long non-coding RNA (NBEN_LNC026721)". The record is from RNAcentral. Lineage: Eukaryota; Viridiplantae; Streptophyta; Magnoliopsida; Solanales; Solanaceae.